AGGGAGCCUGAGAAACGGCUACCGCAUCCAAGGAAG
This 36-nucleotide ribosomal RNA is filed under the name Pelobates cultripes (western spadefoot toad). RNAcentral describes it as "SSU_rRNA_eukarya". Lineage: Eukaryota; Metazoa; Chordata; Amphibia; Anura; Pelobatidae. The record is from RNAcentral.